UGAGGAAUAUUGGGCAAUGGGUGAAAGCCUGACCCAGCCAUGCCGCGUGCAGGAUUGACGGCCCUAUGGGUUGUAAACUGCUUUUGUAUGGGAAGAAACCCUCGAACUUGUUCGAGGUUGACGGUACCGUACGAAUAAGCAUCGGCUAACUCCGUGCCAGCAGCCGCGGUAAUACGGAGGAUGCAAGCGUUAUCCGGAUUUAUUGGGUUUAAAGGGUGCGUAGGCGGGACAGUAAGUCAGUGGUGAAAGCCUGCAGCUUAACUGCAGAAUUGCCAUUGAAACUGCUGUUCUUGAGUACAGUUGAAGUGGAUGGAAUGUGUUAUGUAGCGGUGAAAUGCAUAGAUAUGACACAGAACACCGAUAGCGAAGGCAGUCCACUAAACUGUAACUGACGCUGAGGCACGAAAGCGUGGGUAGCAAACA
Molecule: ribosomal RNA, 423 nt
Filed under: uncultured bacterium
Lineage: Bacteria
Description: bacterial SSU rRNA
Rfam family: Bacterial small subunit ribosomal RNA
Source: RNAcentral